AGCGAACGCUGGCGGCAGGCCUAACACAUGCAAGUCGAGCGGGCAUAGCAAUAUGUCAGCGGCAGACGGGUGAGUAACGCGUGGGAACGUACCUUUUGGUUCGGAACAACACAGGGAAACUUGUGCUAAUACCGGAUAAGCCCUUACGGGGAAAGAUUUAUCGCCGAAAGAUCGGCCCGCGUCUGAUUAGCUAGUUGGGGGGGUAAAGGCCCACCAAGGCGACGAUCAGUAGCUGGUCUGAGAGGAUGAUCAGCCACAUUGGGACUGAGACACGGCCCAAACUCCUACGGGAGGCAGCAGUGGGGAAUAUUGGACAAUGGGGGCAACCCUGAUCCAGCCAUGCCGCGUGAGUGAUGAAGGCCCUAGGGUUGUAAAGCUCUUUUGUGCGGGAAGAUAAUGACGGUACCGCAAGAAUAAGCCCCGGCUAACUUCGUGCCAGCCGCCGCCGUAA
This 451-nucleotide ribosomal RNA is filed under the name uncultured bacterium. Its description in RNAcentral is "partial 16S ribosomal RNA". It matches the Rfam family "Bacterial small subunit ribosomal RNA", at positions 29 to 523 of the family's 1533-position model. The record is from RNAcentral.